AGGGCAGCAUCCCACCUAGCCCCAGCUUUAUUCUCUUGUCUGUCUUUUCUAAUCCUUCACCGCCCCCCCAUUCCCUCACCCCCCACCUCCCUUGCCUCAGGUUCACCUAUGGCUGUGCUGGUGCGGCACAGAGAAGGUCUGUCUACGCAAUGAACCUACUCAAGACUUCACCGACUGGCGAGGUGAUGAAAACAAGAAUCUUCAGUCCCUGCUGUCCCUAAGGCCCUACCUCAGUUCCUCCAAGAUAACUCAGGUGUCCUUGCAUCUCCCCUGAUUCCAGCACACAGGACACUCUUUACUCUCCCCAAUGUCAUCUAGCAAGACCCGGCCGACCUGUCUGGAACUGAGCAUCCGGAACCACUUGUGUGCAUCACAUGCAAUUUCCAGCUGUUGUGGGAAAGCAAUGAAUGAAGAGAAAGUACUAGGCCCUGACAAGGCUUAGCAUCUAGGGAAGGAGGGGGAGAAGUAGGGAGAAGAUCCUAAAGGUCAAAUGCAAUGUCUCCCAUUGUUCAUGUACCUUUUCAAAAAGAGACAAUUCCAUUUGAUCCACUAAUACAGUGGUUCUCAACCUUCCUAAUGCCGCGACCCUCUAAUACAGUUCCUCAUGUUGUGGUGACUCCCAAUUUCAUUGUUACAAAUUGAACAUAAUUAAAGCAUAGUGAUUAAUCAGAAAAACAAUAUGUAAUUAUAUAUGUGUUUUCCGAUGGUCUUAGGCGACCCCUGUGAAAGGGUUGUUCGACCCCCAAAGAGGUCGGUUGCGACCCACAGGUUGAGAACCGCUGCACUAAUAUCUUUAGAAAACUUUGACCUUCUGCAAAAAGAAGGAAACUAAAAUUAUAGCCUUGCCUGUAGCUUGGAUGCUUUAUAAACACGGCACCACAGUGAGGCAAUCUAGAUAGAGUGCCAAACCAAAGCAGAGCUAAGAGUGGGAAUUUUAUACCAUUAACACAAAAGGUUAGGGGGCCAGGUUGAAUUUGGACAAAAUCACAUAGGAUCUUGAGUCCAGAGCAUUUUCUAACAGUGAAUUUCAAUAAGAAGUUUUGGGAAAUACCUCAGUCUUGUAUUGGACGCAGGGCAAAGAUC
Long non-coding RNA from Myotis lucifugus (little brown bat), 1083 nucleotides. RefSeq lists it as uncharacterized. The record is from RefSeq and is a predicted model, not a curated record. Lineage: Eukaryota; Metazoa; Chordata; Mammalia; Chiroptera; Vespertilionidae. The transcript is spliced from 3 exons.